GUGCUGGCUUCAGCAACACGUAUACUAAAACUGAAAAGAUGCAGAGGAGAUUAGCAUGGCCCCUACACAAAGACAACAUGCAAAUUCGUGAAGAGGAAACUUCCAUU
Molecule: small nuclear RNA, 107 nt
Organism: Loxodonta africana (African savanna elephant)
Lineage: Eukaryota; Metazoa; Chordata; Mammalia; Proboscidea; Elephantidae
Source: Ensembl